GACGGAGGAUGCAAGCGUUAUCCGGAAUGAUUGGGCGUAAAGCGUCCGCAGGUGGCAGUUCAAGUCUGCUGUCAAAGACCGGGGCUUAACUUCGGAAAGGCAGUGGAAACUGAGCAGCUAGAGUAUGGUAGGGGCAGAGGGAAUUCCUGGUGUAGCGGUGAAAUGCGUAGAGAUCAGGAAGAACAUCGGUGGCGAAGGCGCUCUGCUGGACCAUAACUGACACUCAGGGACGAAAGCUAGGGGAGCGAAUGGG
RNAcentral lists this ribosomal RNA (253 nucleotides) under uncultured bacterium. RNAcentral describes it as "partial 16S ribosomal RNA". It matches the Rfam family "Bacterial small subunit ribosomal RNA", at positions 524 to 776 of the family's 1533-position model. The record is from RNAcentral.